GAUUAGGGAGGUGGGGACGAGAUGGGCUAGUUUUGGGAUGCAGUGGUGGGAGUGGAGAUUUUGAAGCUUGUGAAAUCCACAUUGAUAGCAUUGGGCUGCAGAGUUCCCAAGGCUCAGUUAAGGAAGGACAACAAACAUUGAUCAGUCAGUCAUACAUCCAGCAAGAAAACUUUAUUUUUUUAAAAAAAUAGGAUGCAUCUGUUAAUCAAGUGGCAAAGCAUUAUCGAGUUUUGAGAAGAUUUGUAGCUCAGGGUUCAGGUUCUGGAUGUAAGAUUGCUCAAUGAGCUGGAAGGUUAGUUUUCAGAUGAUUCGUCACCAUUCCAGGUAAAAUCAUCAGUGAGCCUCCGGUGAAGCGCUGGAGUUCGGUCCCGCUUUCUCUUCAAGUGUUUCGGUUUCCUUGGGUUGGUGAUGUCAUUUCCUGUUCUUUCUCUCAGAGGAUGGGAGAUGGAUUUGGAGCCAAUGUGUCCUCCCUGGUGUAGUUUGUGUAUGGAAUGAACUGCCAGAGGCUAUUAUACUCACAGUAUUUAAAAGUCACCUGCAUGGACACAUGAAUAGGAAGGGUCUGGAGGGAUAUGGGCAACAUGCUGGCAAAUGGAACUAGUCAGUUACGAUAUCUGGUCGGCCUGAAGGGUUUGUUUCCCUGCUGUACAACUCUGCGACUCUGUCUCUUUGUCUCCCCCUCCCCCUCUCUCAUUUGCUCCAGACCCACCCCCCACCACACACACAAUCUCUGUCUCUCCAUCUCUGUGUGUGUGCGCCUCACUCUCUGUCUGUCUGUGUCUCUCUCUCUCUCUCGCUGUGCACUUCUCUGUCUCUCUCCUUCUCUUUCACUGUCUCUUUGGUCUUUGUGUGUGUGUGCCCCUCUCUGUCUCUGCCUCCCUCUGUAUGUGCUUCUGCCUUUCUCUCUCUCCGUCGACCCCCCACCCACUCUGCGCCGCCCCUCCCCCCGCCUUUUCCUCCAUCUCUCUUACUCUCUAGCCGAGCCUCUCCACCCGCUCAGCAGGGAGCGUUGUGAGUUUCUUUCGAACAAAGUUUAAAGAUCUCUGUUUGAACCCAACCCAUCCGCAAUCAGACUGCAUUUCUAAUCCCCCCCCCCCCCCUCUCUCUCUCUCUCUCUCUCUCUCUCUCUCUCUCACACACACACACACACACACACACACACACACACACUGUCUCUUUCUCCCUUUCAGUCAAUCCCCUUCCUCUCCUGGUCCUACUCACGCCUUUUCCCACCCCCCGACUCUGCCUCGGCGAUGAGUCCGCUGUCUGGAUCCCUUUACCCAGGAGUGGGCUGAGGACCCAGCGGUUCGGCAGCGGGGAUCAUCGCACCACGCUCCUGGACCCCUACAACCUCCUGUUCUCCAGCGGCCUCCAGCAUGACCACCGGGCUAGGAGCAGGCAUCCGGGCUGCCGGAGCGCUCGCUGCUCAGUGGCUCAGCCCUGCGCCGCCUUUGCCGGGAGCGGGGAUCCGAGGUGGGAGAAGGCCUCUUCGCCCGGCUCCUGGGCACAGCUACCUGCCUGAACAGCUGCCUGGCACCGAGCCUGCGCUCCCCGACCACCCGGCCGCGGGUCCGCGACGCCUUCCGGGGCUGAGUAGCCGAAAACUAUCUCCUACUGCAAGUCUUUUCCAGUCCCAUGCUGAGUAUUGUUAUCCCAAUAGUUCUUUAAUGUCAGUGUGUGUGUAUUCCUGGGCGACUAUGCUCGUGUGGUCUACGGAGUUGUGGAGGUCACAGUUCUAGGACAGCCAUUUCAUAGGCCUCUGCUGCAGAAUCUACCCCGGAAGAGAGAGCCCAGAGAAUUGCCAAAGCUGUCUGCAAGCAGUCAAUUGACGUGAAGGAAAAUUGGGAGCAAUUGAAAACCCAUGCGAGCAACUGGCAGAACAAGGUGCAAAAGGCGUUAGAGAAACUUCAAGAACUGCAGAAAGCUCUGGAUGAUCUUGAGUCUCAUGUGAUAACAGCUGAGGGGGUCCACAUUGAUUGGCAACCUGUGAAUGACCUGUUUAUUGACGCAUUGCAGGAUCACAUGGAUAAAACCACAGUUAAGGACUGCCUGCAAAAUCUGAGAUUGGGUUUUGAAACACAUCAACCUUUGCUUGCGAGAGAUAAUGGUAACUGCAGAUGCUAGAGAAUGCGAGAUAACAAUGUGUGGAGCUGGAUGAACACAGCAGGCCAAGCAGCAUCUCAGGAGCACAAAAGUUGACAUUUCGGGCCUCGACCCUUCAUGCGAGAGAACGUAACGUUUUUAAAGAAGAAAUUGCCCCAGUCAAACAAGAAGUCAAAAUAUUAAAUGAUCUGGGAUGUCAGUUAUCUCCGCUUGAUGUCUCUUUCUCUCCAAAGAUUUCUCACCAGCUUGAUGACCUAAAUAUGAGGUUGAAAUUUAUACAGCAGCAGGAGGUGAGGAGGCAGAGACUGCAACCCUGAGGUCACGGAGGGAAGGAAAAGAGGCUCUUACUUGGAGAUUGAGAAGCAGGAGAGGGCACAACCCAGAGGUUUGGGAGUGGAGAGAGGCUGCAAGUUGGAGGUCAAGGUGAUUUAAACACCGUGCGUUUUUCUGCAUAUCGGCCAGCAAUGAAGAUCCGCCGACUCCAGAAAGCACUCUGUUACCACAUCAGGUGAAGAUGUGUGUGAUUUCACCAAGGUGCUGAAAAAUAACUUCAGAUCAAAGAAAUACUUUGCCAAACAUCCUCGCUUGGGUUAUUUACCACUACAAACAGUCCUAGAAGACAACAUCAGGUGAAGAUGUGCGUGAUUUCACCAAGGUGCUGAAAAAUAACUUCAGAUCAAAGAAAUACUUUGCCAAACAUCCUCGCUUGGGUUAUUUACCACUACAAACAGUCCUAGAAGACAACAUCAGGUGAAGAUGUGCGUGAUUUCACCAAGGUGCUGAAAAAUAACUUCAGAUCAAAGAAAUACUUUGCCAAACAUCCUCGCUUGGGUUAUUUACCACUACAAACAGUCCUAGAAGACGAGGAAAUAUUAGUGAUGCAAUGAAGAGUUUGAUGAUAAAAUAUAAUUACUGUUACGGUUUCCUCUUGGACGAAAUAUUCUCAUCAAAUUGACUGGUCAAGGAAAUGGGACACUGACUGUGAGUACUUUGAGUGUUUAAGUGAUUCCUAAAAUGAAAAUUAUGACCUUGAUUUCUCUUGCAUGCAGAUAUGAAGAGACUAUUUUAAAAAUCCUCUCGGUUCGUGGUUCAGGCAUAAAGGUGUCACAUGUAUAUUUAUGUAUAUACAUGUACAUGUGUAAUCUGAAAAGAAAAUGACGAUAAAUCACUUGUUACAAGUUCCUCAAGCUUUAGCAUAAACUGGUGGAGACUUUCGGCGCUUGCAAAAAGGCUCACCUCUCUGUUAAUACUGAAGGAAAAUUGGAGUUUAAAAGUAAGUUCACCCGGUGUCAGGGAAUGAAAUGUUAAUGUUGACUUGAAUAUAAUUUUUAAAAAAGUAAUAUAUUUGUGUAGCACUAAACUCAAAUUAAAAUUUGGAUAUGCCAGUUGACUCCUGUUUGACACUGGAUGGAAUGGCGGUGACAUCAGAUUCAGUGAUGAUUGAGAAUCUAAAGAAUAUGAGGAUAAGAUUUAAAAUCCAAAUAUCAUUGAACUCUUCAAGAAAUGUAUUACUGGAAAAGGGGGAAAGCAUGUAUGUCUAUUAGAAUUGAAUACACUCUGAAGGCGGUGGCACAGAUGAAACAGACCUGUGUGCUAAAACUUAUCACAAAUUUCACAUUGAAUGGAACAGUUUAAACAGGCUGGAGGAAGCAGACAUGCCAGCGCAAACUUUUGAAUUUGUGCAUUCUGUUCAUAAACAUCAGCAAAAUUGUGGGAACCUGUUUAUUCUUUCUCUUUUAUUGCACAGAACCAUACGAUUACACUAAUUUUGAUGAGGAAUUUAAAGAUUAUGAGCCCCGUCCGUUUGACCCGCAGUUUGGCACCAUAGGUUGGCACGAUCUUCGUUCGAGAAGGAAGAGGGAUGUUCCAGACACAGAAAAUCGUCAAACCAUUUACUACAAAGUCUGUUUCUGCUUAGUAUUAAUUAAUGCAGUUAACAUUUUCAGAUCGACAUGAUUGCAGAAUGGAGUCAAUAAAACAAAUUCCAUCUGAUAUUCAACAUAAAUUUUAAGUUUAGAAUAACAAGCUCACAAGAGCUUGGUUUUAGAUAUCACUUGGGACCACAGACUAACAGACAAAGGAACAAAGCAAAACGACUCUGCGAUUUGAUGUAGAAACUCCUGACUCCGAAGCCUGCAGCCGCCCUCCAAUUCUCAAGUCAGAAGUGUGCCAAUGAUGGUGCAGAUCCAACAACACUGGAAACGAUCUUGAGUCUAGACCAAAGCAGCCCCUUGAUUGGCACCGUAUCCAUUCUCUCCACAACCAACUCCAAGACACAAUAAUGUGUCCAUAUACAAGAUGCACUGCCACAUUUUUUUCCAACUAUUCUUACACCCGCCUUUCCAGACUUAGAAAACUCAUCUUCAAGGUCAAGGACAUCAGACAUGGUAGCACUAAUCCCAGUAAAAAUCACCUCCAAGCUACUCUCAAACUUAUUUGGAAAUGAAUGAUUGUUCCUGAGUCAAUAUUAGUAAUCUCUUUUGGAACAGCAUUGUGGGUCUGUGUACAGCAACAUGAAGCUGUUCAAGAAGUCAAUUUGUGCUGGACAAUCAGCAACAGCUAUGUCUCAUUAAAGAAUAAAUAAAUCGGAAAGAAAUCCAUCUGAGAGUCACAAGCAAAUGGGUAACUUUUUUUUGUUCACUCUGCAGCUCGUGGGCUAUUACCAAUUUUGACAAUGACAAAUGAAGCUUUUGUUUGGUUUGCUAUUGAUAGCAGCUGUCCACAAAAUAAAAACAAUUGGCAUCAGAGAUAAUGGGAACUGCAGAUGCUGGAGAAUCCAAGAUUACAAAGUGUGGAGCUGGAUGAACACAGCAGGCCAAGCAGUAUCUCAGGAGCACAAAAGCUGACGUUUCGGGCCUCGACCCUUCAUCAGAAAAGAGGGAGGAGGAGAGGGCUCUGAAAGAAAUAGGGAGAGGGGAAGGCAGAUUGAAGAUGGAUAGAGGGGAAGAUAGGUGCAGAGGAGACAGACAAGCAAUAAGGAAGGAGAGGAUCAAAUAUCAAGGUAGGCUAGCUAGUCAUAUCAGAAAUCAUAGUAACGGCUUCUUUCAAUACAUAAGAAACAAACGUGAGGCAAAAGUAGACACUGGGCCACUCCAAAUUGAUGCUGGAAGGCAAGUGGUGGGAGAUAAGGAAGUAGCUGAAGAACUUAAUAAGUACUUUGCGUCAGUCUUCACAGUGGAAGACAUGAGUAAUAUGCCAACAAUUAGGGAGAGCCAGGGGGCAGAGCUGAGGAUGGUAGGAAUUACAAAAGAGCAAGUGCUAAAAGAGCUAAAAGGUCUAAAAAUUGAUAAAUCUCCUGGCCCCAAUAGGCUAUAUCCUAGAGUUCUGAACAAGGUGGCUGAGGAAAUAGCAGAGGCUUUGGCUAUGAUCUUUCAAAAGUCAGUGUAGUUUUUUUUUGAGUGCGAGCAGCAGCGGAGGCAAGACGGACCCGGAAGACUGCAGCUAAGGUAAAGCAGUUUAUUUUGAAAAUUACUUACCGAUAGCGGGCAGCGGUGUUUUUCCUCUUUCAGAGAAGGAGCGGGAGCAGCAGAGGAAGUGACGAGGACCAGAGGGGCAGCCGGGAAGGAAAGCAGUGAGUAUAAAUACUCACCCUUCGACGCCAACGGCCAUUAUGAGUGCGAGCAGCAGCAGAGGCAAGAUGGACCCGGAAGACUGCAGCUAAGAUGCGGAUAAAGUUCUCCAAGCUGACAGAAAUUGAAAGCACUCGCAUCCUGUGACGAUGGGGUAGGAGUGGAAGAAUCAGAGUGUUUCUUUGAAAAUUGGCUUGAUGUGUCUGUCCAAGGGUCAUCUGGAGGAAAAAAUACAAGUGCACUCAGACAUGAACUAAUGGAUAAGGAGGAGACAAUCAUAACUGCUUUGGAUUCAGCCCAUAGAAGGGCCAGAGGAGCCGCGCUGACACCUUCAUGUUUAAACAGAGGACACUUUUCUGCGUGCCACGAGAUGUAUAUCAGCCAUACCAAAAUGCUGCCUUUGCCUGAGACAGGGAAGAUCAACUGACUUUGGGGAAAUGGAGAAUCAUUCAUGAAUCCAGUUACUUUCUGAUCUGACAGCUUUGUGGCAUCUGAAUGGAUAACAAUUUGAUCUGAUGUUGCCAGACCCGGUGAGCUAUUCCAGCAACUUUGUUUUAGUUCCUGAUGAGCUGCGACUUUGUACUUGACUGAUUUCCAACAUCAAAAGUUCUAAAGGUUGGAAGAGAUUGGUUUACCUUGACUUCCUAGCUUGAAAAUGUGCCUUUUAUGCAAAGAAACUGUACUCUGGGACAGUGGUUUUUCAGAUUUACCUGCAGGUCCAGCUGUGAAUCGGAGUUGAAGUAGUUGCAAGCACUGAUGAAUAGGCAGCUAUUUAGCCUCUGGAUGGAAUCCUGUGGAAGCGACGAGGGUCUAGGUCAUUGACUCGAGAACUGAUGAGGGAACGGCUUGCCCCAACCAGCUUCCCUUCAGGGGAACGCCAGCCUCAGGUCGCUCCCCUCAAGGGGUAUGUCAUCCUGACCUUGCUCCUCUCAUGCGUAGGCAGCUACAUCUUUCUCCCCUCUGGCACAUAAUAGACCGGUGGAAAACCUGGUGGGAUGUCACUUUCCAUGAGCGGUUGGCUAACCAGAACCCAGCAUGUGUACUAAGCAGCAGUGUCACUUGGGAGGUGAUGAUCUCUGUUACCAUUGGCAACCAACCUACGAUUAUUGCUCGAUCUCGGACCAGGAUUGAGUGAAACACCAUUAGCACGCCACUUCCCCUUCUUGAUGUUGCACAUUGAAUGCCUUUGAAAGCCUGUUACAUUUCUUAAUGGUGACUCCCCUGCCCACUGUUGACUCAAUACCAGUUGUUGUGGGAUGAUGUAUGUGUACGUCAGUUGCUCAAUUGGGGACUUUAACUCGCAAUGAAGUUGGGAAGUUAUGCACAAGUCUUCUCACCAUGGGUUUAAUCUGGCUCUAAGCAGAAUUGUAGGUGGUGCCAUCCUUCCACCUGAUUAAAUGUCCUCUAUUUUCAAACUUGCCACAAGGGAAAGUACAAAAUCCCGCUGUUUUUGUUAUCAAUUCAUGGUUUUUAAUUUUGCAAUCAGUGUCGUAAGCAGCAGAUUAGUUCAGUCCUUGUGAAAUUGAAGGCAAUGCAACACUUUAAUUGGUCACUUUUUAACAUGGCAGGUUCUCAGACUGAGGAAAUGGUGAAUGUUGUUGAUCUUUAAUGCAAUAUAAUGGAGGAGAGAAAAAUCUGGACUAUAGAGCCCACAGGAAGAAAAUUAUAAUCUGUCAGUGCUGCCUCCAUUAGAACAAUGCCAAGUAAAUACCCGUCCCCAUAUCGAACAAUAGAAGUUUCCUGCAUAUCAGAACAUACCCAUUGAGUGGGGAACUGAUGAAUAAUGCAGGAGCACCAUCGGAUUGAAAUACUUUUAUUCUAAGAAUUUCAGAACAUGCUGGGAUUUUUAUAGCAAGCAAUACUUGUGAUGGAAUAUUCUUUUAAUGUCAAAAUGCUGCAACAGUUUGGAAGAACCAAUAUUAAAUGGAUAUUAUUGCAGAUAAUAUAUGUGAAUUAAAUAAAAUUGUUUGCUUAAAGUAUUUUGUAAUUCGAAUUGAAUGUCGCAUUUUUGUAUCUUAGUUGUCUUCUGUUUCUAAUUUUUCUUAUUUUUAUAGAGCAGGUAUUGUCCUGGUCACUUGUAAUGCUGCCAAUUCAAGAUUAACUACAUGGAUGGUCUCUAUCAGUUGCUUAAUCCCCGAUGUCAGUUUGCAAUCCUGAAUCCAAGAUUGUCACUUCAUCUUUCAAUUCUGUGUAUAAUCAAAGUCUGAGAUCAACAGCUUUCAUUUUACUAUCUGGAAGUCAAUCAGUGCAGAUUUUGUUUGUAAACAAGCGUUCUGUAUGUAAAACUGCUUCGUUUAAUUAGAUUAGUUAGUUAAGAUUCAUUUUAAUGAAAUGAAUCAUAACUAAGCUUCAUCUCUUCCUCAUUCUGAUUCUGAACACAUGGUAUGUCACGCAAUGGCAAUUCAAUUUUGCAUUGGUGCCGGUUCAAACCAUGUGUUUUCCAACUACAGAUUGAUACAGAUGAAAUUGUACCAUUUCCUUUUUAGUACCAUUCUCACCAUACAGUGUUUCUGUUCAUUACGUUUCUGUGCACAGUUCUGAACCAGUCCCCUUGCCCCUGAGCUUGCCAAAUGUCUCAAUGUUGUCAUGACAUUGUCAAAGAAUUCAUUCCUUGGUAGAUUCAGAGAUAAAUUAAUGUAACCUAGUAUGUGUUAAUGCCUCUGCUGUAAUCGGGCGAAACACUCAGGCCAUUGUCUUAAUUUUUCUCUCUUGUAUUUAUAUUGAAAUGUUGACCAUGCCAUUUGCUCCACUUACUGGGAUUGGACUUGUUACAGAAGUGCUGAACGUCAACUUGCCAAAUACAAUUGGAUGAAAAGUAUGAGGCCAAUCAGUCUCUUGAAACACUUUCUCUAUGCAAUCAACAUAACAACAUUCAUUGACAAUGAAAAAUUACGUACGUGCUUCAGAAGAUUAGAUUUGAAACAGAGAUUUGUGAAUAUGAAUGGAGCUAUAUAUGUCCCCAUCUCAGGCACCAACCUCAAGUUCACCUGGACUAUCUACAACACCUCUGUCACCUUCCUGGACCUCUCUGUCUCCAUCUCAGAACCUAACCCGGAAGAGAGAGCCCAGAGAAUUGCCAAAGCUGUCCUCAAACAGUCAACAGAAGUGAAGGAAAAUUGGGAGCAAUUGAAAAUCCAUGCAAGCAACUGGCAGAAACAGGUGGAAAAGGCAUUGGAGAAACUUCAAGAACUGCAGAAAGCUCUGGAUGAUCUUGAGGCUCGUGAUAACAGCUGAGGGGGUCCACACUGAUUGGCAACCUGUGGGUGACCUGCUUAUUGACUCAUUGCAGGAUCACAUUGAUAAAACCAAAAUAAGUGCAAUUACAUUGCACUUCACUUAUGAACAGAUGUAACUGCAAUGUUGUAUCGAGACGAUCAGUAAUAUGAGUACUUAAGUAAUAUUGAUUGAAUGGUUGUUAACUUAAUUUGAAAAUUAAAACUUAGUUGAGCAUG
Stegostoma tigrinum is the source of this 9124-nucleotide long non-coding RNA. RefSeq lists it as uncharacterized. NCBI's taxonomy places the organism in Eukaryota, Metazoa, Chordata, Chondrichthyes, Orectolobiformes, Stegostomatidae. The transcript is spliced from 18 exons. The record is from RefSeq and is a predicted model, not a curated record.